RNAcentral lists this ribosomal RNA (757 nucleotides) under uncultured archaeon. RNAcentral describes it as "bacterial SSU rRNA". It matches the Rfam family "Archaeal small subunit ribosomal RNA", at positions 102 to 859 of the family's 1478-position model. The record is from RNAcentral.
GGAUAACUACCCUUUAGGACCGGGAUAACUUUGGGAAACUGAGGCUAAUACCGGAUAGGCAAUUUUUCCUGUAAUGGUUUUUUGUUUAAAUGUUUUUUCGCCUAAGGAUGGGUCUGCGGCCGAUUAGGUAGUUGGUUAGGUAAUGGCUUACCAAGCCGUUGAUCGGUACGGGUUGUGAGAGCAAGAGCCCGGAGAUGGAACCUGAGACAAGGUUCCAGGCCCUACGGGGUGCAGCAGGCGCGAAACCUCCGCAAUGUGAGAAAUCGCGACGGGGGGAUCCCAAGUGCCAUUCUUAACGGGAUGGCUUUUCAUUAGUGUAAAGAGCUUUUGGAAUAAGAGCUGGGCAAGACCGGUGCCAGCCGCCGCGGUAACACCGGCAGCUCUAGUGGUAACAAUUUUUAUUGGGCCUAAAGCGUCCGUAGCCGGUUUAAUAAGUCUCUGGUGAAAUCCUGUAGCUUAACUGUGGGAAUUGCUGGAGAUACUAUUAGACUUGAGACCGGGAGAGGUUGGAGGUACUCCCAGGGUAGAGGUGAAAUUCUGUAAUCCUGGGAGGACCGCCUGUUGCGAAGGCGUCUAACUGGAACGGUUCUGACGGUGAGGGACGAAAGUUAGGGGCGCGAACCGGAUUAGAUACCCGGGUAGUCCUAACUGUAAACGAUGCGGACUUGGUGUUGGGGUGGCUUUGAGCUGCUCCAGUGCCGAAGGGAAGCUGUUAAGUCCGCCGCCUGGGAAGUACGGUCGCAAGACUGAAACUUAA